AAUCCCGUGAACCAUCGAGUCUUUGAACGCAAGUUGCGCCCGAAGCCUUCGGGCCGAGGGCACGCCUGCCUGGGCGUCACGCAUCGCGUCGCCCCCCGGAGGGGUGUGCGGAGAUUGGCCUCCCGUGCGCCUCGGCGUGCGGCCGGCCU
Molecule: ribosomal RNA, 149 nt
Filed under: Barleria mutabilis
Lineage: Eukaryota; Viridiplantae; Streptophyta; Magnoliopsida; Lamiales; Acanthaceae
Description: 5.8S ribosomal RNA
Rfam family: 5.8S ribosomal RNA (bases 1-79)
About the family: 5.8S ribosomal RNA (5.8S rRNA) is a component of the large subunit of the eukaryotic ribosome. It is transcribed by RNA polymerase I as part of the 45S precursor that also contains 18S and 28S rRNA.
Source: RNAcentral